CCAGAGGCUGGGCUCAACCAGGGUAAGUGGAUAAAGGCAACACAGCCUGCCCUGAGUAAAAGACACCUGCAGAGAACAGCACAAUGAAGAUUAGGCCAAGCAGGACAGAGCCAACUGUCAACAAGCUGUAAGUAAAUAAAGUCUGCUUUGUUAAAAUGAAAAUAAACCAGAGAUGGAUUUGAUGAAGUAUGAUGACUCUGGAAGUCAGCCCAGCUUCCCUUAUUAAGGGAAAGGAUGAAGUGACAGCAAAGCACACAUGCUCUCAGCAAUUUCCAGAGAUGCUAAUGAAGAGAGAACCAAGCCUUGUGAAACUUGGCACAGCAGGACAGAGAGGCUCAACUUUGUCACAAGGAGAAGAGAGGUGCAUACAUCAUGGGAUUCAUAGAAUCACGAGCACAUUCACCUUGGAAAUACAUUCUGCCAAAACUGUGAUUUCACCCAGCAUAGCUACAGGACAGAAACGUUCUCAGGCUGGAACACCUCUCCCUUUCCACAGUCUAAAACUUUGAUCCACCUUCUGUGUAGCAUUUGUCUUCAAGUGCCCCUGAAAGCUGAGGUUGGCUACCGGGAAGGCGGGAAAACUCGGAUCAGUCCAAAAGGCCAUAAAGCACCUUUGACCAAAACAAUGGAGUAAUUCUUUCUGGAUUUACAAGGGUAACAUUAAAAGCUUGUAAUUGCCUUCCUACUGUCAACAUAAAAUGGGUUACAGGAAGGAAAGGAAACAGAAUUUUUGCAUACUUGAAGACUUCAAACAGAAAAGACUGCCACAUGAUCAAAAAGAGUUUUGGAAUAAUAAUAAAGAUGGGUGGGAGACAGAACAGACAGCUUCCUACAGAAACAUACUAUUUUCUGACUAUGCACACACCUCUAAAUAGUGAAAGAAAGAUGUCUGUUUCUGACUGCAGGCAGAGUGUUGCACAUUGACAAAGAAGCAGCCACGCUGACCUACAGCUGUACACUCUCUGAUUCCUCCUUUCCCAGGGACCCAUGGAAUACUUCAGAACAGUGACUUCAAGUUUUCUUGGGAAUCAUUAAAUUAAGAUGCCAGCGCUUUCUCCACCACUAAAUGUUCCUACUGCUCCUUUUGAUCUUUUUGUUUAUACAGAUGCCUUAUCUUUACAGGGCAUCUCAAACGCCCUACUGUGAUUUUCCUCCAAAUCCUAACAAUUAUUUACAGGCUCUUCCUUACAUCCUCACAUUUGAUGUGAUGCUGAAAGAUUCACACUAAGGAGCAUGUAUCCCUCCUAACUGUACAGAGCUGCAGGCUCUGACAGCAGAAUCAUCACUGUUCUAGAGUUUUUUCUAAAUUUAUUCCAUUUCUCCACACUUCUUCAUAUCUCCUGAUAAGCCAAUGCCCCUGGUGUUGCUAUUUCUAGUGUAGACCAUGUUUUUCAGGGAAAAGAAUACAUCUCACAGACAAGAAACAUGGCACCUCUCAUGCACUUCAAGAUCUCUCCACACACACAGGGCACAAUAGUCCACAUGUGCACCCUGUGUCUUCCACUGACCCAUUGUUUUCCCUGGAGUUCUGGCAGGCAGGAGAAACUCCAGUAUCAGAAGGGCCUUCACAUCCUCAUCAACAACCCAGAGGGCUGCAGAACUGAUCUCACAGGAAGAAUAUAAAAGACUCUGAAAAUUACACGGGGAACUGCAUCUACUAUACACAUCUGCAGAGCUCAGAAAUUAUUGUUUCUUGGAUCAGUUUCUAAAGCAAAUAUAAGGGGACAUACAAGCUAAAUCUUGCCAUAUGAAUCUUCCAGCACACUUGCAGUAACAGUGGAAAUGAAAUGAGGGGGAAGAAAAGUGAAAAUGUUGUUUAGAUUUUUCUCUUUAAAUCAUGUGUCAUCAAUUAUGGCCUGCAUACUUACUUACUUUGUUGAGAACAGUCAUACAAACAGAAAGAAAAAUUGGACUCAUGCUACAUUCUUGUACAAACUGAUUGUUUUGCCCACAAUAAAAGAUAAUAUACAA
This is a long non-coding RNA of Haemorhous mexicanus (house finch), 1971 nucleotides long. RefSeq lists it as uncharacterized. The record is from RefSeq and is a predicted model, not a curated record. The transcript is spliced from 3 exons. NCBI's taxonomy places the organism in Eukaryota, Metazoa, Chordata, Aves, Passeriformes, Fringillidae.